CCCUUAGAUGUUCUGGGCCGCACGCGCGCUACACUGAUGCAUUCAACGAGUUUCUUCCUGGUCCGAGAGGAAUGGGUAAACUUUUGAAAGUGCAUCGUGAUAGGGAUAGACUAUUGCAAUUAUUGGUCUUCAACGAGGAAUUCCUAGUAGACGUAGUUCAUCAGACUGCAUCGAUUACGUCCCUGCCCUUUGUACACACCGCCCGUCGCUCCUACCGAUUGAAUGCUCAGGUGAGCCAUUCGGACUUUCAUCAUGCUGGUUUCCAGUUUUGAUGAAGGAAAGUCUUGCGAACCUUAUCAUUUAGAGGAAGGAGAAGUCGUAACA
This 324-nucleotide ribosomal RNA is filed under the name uncultured eukaryote. RNAcentral's name for it is "partial 18S ribosomal RNA". It matches the Rfam family "Eukaryotic small subunit ribosomal RNA", at positions 1470 to 1796 of the family's 1831-position model. The record is from RNAcentral.